UUGCUUUGGCAGUACAUAUGCUAAAAUUGAAAUGAUACAGAGAAGAUUAACAUGGCCCCUGCACAAGGAUGACAUGCAAAUUCAUGAAGUGUUCCAUAUAUUA
This is a small nuclear RNA of Nyctereutes procyonoides (raccoon dog), 103 nucleotides long. NCBI's taxonomy places the organism in Eukaryota, Metazoa, Chordata, Mammalia, Carnivora, Canidae. The record is from RefSeq and is a predicted model, not a curated record.